UACGUAGGGGGCAAGCGUUGUCCGGAAUCAUUGGGCGUAAAGCGCGUGUAGGCGGCUUCGUAAGUCCGUUGUGAAAGUCCAGGGCUCAACCCUGGAAUGCCGAUGGAUACUGCGGAGCUGGAGUCCGGAAGAGGCGAGUGGAAUUCCUGGUGUAGCGGUGAAAUGCGCAGAUAUCAGGAGGAACACCAAUGGCGAAGGCAGCUCGCUGGGACGGUACUGACGCUGAGACGCGAAAGCGUGGGGAGCAAACAGG
This 253-nucleotide ribosomal RNA is filed under the name uncultured bacterium. RNAcentral's name for it is "partial 16S ribosomal RNA". It matches the Rfam family "Bacterial small subunit ribosomal RNA", at positions 524 to 776 of the family's 1533-position model. The record is from RNAcentral.